UGAGGAAUAUUGGGCAAUGGGCGAAAGCCUGACCCAGCCACGCCGCGUGAGUGAUGAAGGCCUUCGGGUUGUAAAGCUCUGUGGGGAGGGAAGAAAAAGCGGGAGAGUAACUGCUCUCGUGUUGACGGUACCUCCUUAGCAAGCACCGGCUAACUCUGUGCCAGCAGCCGCGGUAAUACAGAGGGUGCAAACGUUGCUCGGAAUUACUGGGCGUAAAGCGCGUGUAGGCUGACAUGCAAGUCGGGUGUGAAAUCCCAGGGCUCAACCUUGGAACUGCACUCGAAACUGCACGUCUUGAGUACUGGAGAGGGAAGCGGAAUUCCGGGUGUAGAGGUGAAAUUCGUAGAUAUCCGGAGGAACACCAGUGGCGAAGGCGGCUUCCUGGACAGUAACUGACGCUGAGACGCGAAAGCGUGGGGAGCAAACAG
RNAcentral lists this ribosomal RNA (428 nucleotides) under uncultured organism. RNAcentral's name for it is "bacterial SSU rRNA". It matches the Rfam family "Bacterial small subunit ribosomal RNA", at positions 355 to 775 of the family's 1533-position model. The record is from RNAcentral.